UGGGGAGUCGCCAAGUGGUAAGGCACACGGUUCUGGUCCGUGUAUCCGGGGUUCGAAUCCCUGCUCCCCAG
Molecule: transfer RNA, 71 nt
Filed under: Candidatus Kerfeldbacteria bacterium CG_4_9_14_3_um_filter_45_8
Lineage: Bacteria; Candidatus Kerfeldiibacteriota
Also listed under: 1 other name
Description: tRNA-Gln
Rfam family: tRNA
About the family: Transfer RNA (tRNA) molecules are approximately 80 nucleotides in length. Their secondary structure includes four short double-helical elements and three loops (D, anti-codon, and T loops).
Source: RNAcentral